GAUGAACGUUGGCGGUGUGCCUAAUACAUGCAAGUCGAACGGAGACUGUAGCAAUACUGUCUUAGUGGCGAACGGGUGAGUAACGCGUUGGUGAUCUGCCUCGAAGUGUGGAAUAACCUCCCGAAAGGGAAGCUAAUACCGCAUAGUCUCUCAAGGUUUAGAAAAUUGAGAGUAAAGGAUUUAUUCGCUUCGAGAGGAGCCUGCGUCCCAUCAGCUAGUUGGUAGGGUAACGGCCUACCAAGGCUAUGACGGGUAGGGGACCUGAGAGGGUCGGCCCCCCACAAUGGAACUGAAACACGGUCCAUACACCUACGGGUGGCAGCAGUAGGGAAUAUUAGAAAUGGACGAAAGUCUGAUCUAGCAACACCGCGUGUGCGAAGAAGGCCUUCGGGUCGUAAAGCACUUUUUGGAAGGAAUAGGAAGGAAUGUACUUCCAGAAUAAGUCUCGGCUAACUACGUG
RNAcentral lists this ribosomal RNA (460 nucleotides) under uncultured bacterium. RNAcentral's name for it is "bacterial SSU rRNA". It matches the Rfam family "Bacterial small subunit ribosomal RNA", at positions 28 to 507 of the family's 1533-position model. The record is from RNAcentral.